GGUCUUGUGGUCUAGUGGUAUGAUUCUCGGUAAGUUUCUAUUCACACAUAUUCAAAUUAGUAUACUAACAGUUGAACAGCUUAGGGUGUACCCUGAGUAAUUUGCGAGAGGCCCCGCGUUCGAGUCGCGGCAAGACCC
Non-coding RNA from Delitschia confertaspora ATCC 74209, 138 nucleotides. The record is from the annotation of a GenBank genome assembly. NCBI's taxonomy places the organism in Eukaryota, Fungi, Ascomycota, Dothideomycetes, Pleosporales, Delitschiaceae.